AUGCCCAGGAUGGCCACCAGUUCAGCACCACAGCGCAAGAUGGCCGCCAGCCCAGCGCCAUUGCACAGGAUGGCUGCCAGCUCAGCAUGCCCAGCACCACAGCACGGGAUGGCCGCCGGCCCAGCACCACAGCACAAGAUGGUUGACUCAACGCCUGAGUCUUCCGUCAAGGAGCCACCGGCACGCCAUCAUAGAGGCCGCAGGAGGAGGAGACAGGCGUCAGCCGUUCCUCGAAGCCCGGAGGACGUUCCCGAGCGGGCCGCUGCCGUCCAGGAGGACGUUCCCGAGCGGGCCGCUGCCGUCCAGGAGGACGUUCCCGAGCGGGCCGCUGCCGUCCAGGAGGACGUUCCCGAGCGGGCCGCUGCCGUCCAGGAGGACGUUCCCGAGCAGGCCGCUGUCGUCCAGGUGGACGUGCCCGAGGUUCCCGAGGCGGGGCUCGAGGUGGUUCUGGAUGCCGAGGCGGUGCCCGAGGCGGUGCCCGAUGCCGAGGCGGUGCCCGAGGCCAGGGCGGUGCCCGAGGCGGUCCCCGAUGCCGAGGCGGUCCCCGAUGCAAUGCCCGAUGCUGAGGCGGUGCCCGAUGCGGUGCCAGAGACGGUUCCCGAUGUAAUGCCCGAGACCGAGGCUGUUCCGGAGGUCGAGGCGGUGCCCGAUGUUGUUCCCGAUGCCGAGGCGGUGCCCGAUGCUGUUCCGCAGGUCGAGGCGGUGCCCGAGGCCGUUCCGCAGGUCGAGGCGGUGCCCGAUGUUGUUCCAGAGACCGAGGUGGUGCCCGAGUUGCUUCCAGAGACCGAGGCGGUGCCCGAUGCGCAGGCCGAGAUCGUUCCCGAGGCGGUGGCCGAUGCGCAGGCCGAGGUCGUUCCUGAGGUGGUGCCCGAUGCAGAGGUCGUUCCCGAGGCGGUGCCCUUGUCCAAGGCCGUUCCCGAGGCCGUGCCCGAGGCCGUUCCCGAGGCGGGGGCCUUGUCCAAUGCCGUUCCUGAGGCCGUUCCUGAGGCCGUUCCUGAGGCCGUUCCUGAGGCCGUUCCUGAGACCGUUCCCGAGGCGGUGUCCUGGUCCGAUGCCGUUCCUGAGGCCGUUCCUGAGGCCAUUCCAGAGGCGGUGGCCGAUGCUGUUCCGGAGGCCGAUGCGGGGCCCAAGAUGGCUCCGGAGGCGAUACCCGUGUCCAAGGCCGUUCCCGAGGCGGUGUCCUUGUCUGAGGUCGUUCCUGAUGCCGUUCCCAAUGCCGUGACCGGGCCAUCGCCACAGCCUGCUCCUUACUGGCUCCCCGAUUGGCAGGUUCCGUUCGGGCCACUCAACGAGAAUGGACUGAUCCACCGUGGCCACCUGAACUGCCUGGUCCCUCGUGGUCCCCUGAACUUUCGGGUCCACCGUGGCCACCUGAACUGCCUGGUCCCUCGUGGUCCCCUGAACUUUCGGGUCCACCGUGGCCACCUGAACUGCCUGGUCCCUCGUGGUCCCCUGAACUUUCGGGUCCACCGUGGCCCCCUGAACUGCCUGGUCCCUCGUGGUCCCCUGAACUUUCGGGUCCACCAUGGCCCCCUGAUCUGACCAAGCCACCUGGGCUACCAGGGGAGCCAUCGCUGCCGGUCCCAGUUCCCCUACACGGGCCUGGCCCGCCAUCCCUCCCCCUGUUCUGCCUCCACCAGUCCACCUCCCUCCUGGUCUCUUUGUUUUGUGUUUAUUUGGUUCUGAGGAACAUCUGGAAGCUGCUCCUUAGAGGGGGGGUAGUGUCACAGUGUCUGUUCUGUGUCUCCCUGGGUGGCCACUAGAGGUCUCACUUCCCCUUAUUGUCAUCUUCGUCAGAACUUCAUUUCCCACUAGCCUUAGCUGCUCAUCACUGUUCAUUGUAUUCAGCUGUCACCACUUACCUUGUUUGCACCUGUCUUUAAAUACCCUGGUUGUUCUGUCUUUGUUACGGAGUCCUUGUUGAAUGUCACCCUGCGUUUUCCUGGUUCCCUGGUUUCUCGUGUUUUUGUAUGUUGUUUAUGUUUCUUGUUUUGGACGGAUUACCUGGAUGUUGACCUUUGCCUGGCUAAGUUAUGAUUUUUGGAUUGCCUCAAUAAACAUACUGCAAUUGGAUCUACCUGUCUGUGUGCGGUUCGUGACAGAAAAUGACAUUUCUCUUGACCAGAAGAACUGAAGGCCAAAGUCAGCAAAACUGCUCCCUCUAAAGGAAAAUCAGUGCAAUACUUCACUUAUACAUUAUGGACUUGGA
Long non-coding RNA from Cyprinus carpio carpio, 2209 nucleotides. Lineage: Eukaryota; Metazoa; Chordata; Actinopteri; Cypriniformes; Cyprinidae. The record is from Ensembl.